Molecule: signal recognition particle RNA, 267 nt
Filed under: Fidelibacterota bacterium
Lineage: Bacteria; Pseudomonadati; Fidelibacterota
Description: signal recognition particle sRNA large type
Rfam family: Bacterial large signal recognition particle RNA
About the family: The signal recognition particle (SRP) is a universally conserved ribonucleoprotein involved in the co-translational targeting of proteins to membranes.
Source: RNAcentral
CCGUGCUAGAUGGGGAAUUAGCGGUGCCCUGUAACCUGCAAUCCGCUAUAGCAGGAUCGAUGCUGACGCCAGGCUAUUGCUGACUAGUUUGAAAAAAAUUAAGCGAUAUUGAAAUUUCGAUCUGUUGCAAUGAAUAUUUGACGAACCCCGUCAGGCCCGGAAGGGAGCAGCGGUAAGUUAUGAUAAUCAUGUGCCGACAGUUCCCCGAAAUGGAGUUGGCUGAUUUUUAUCGAACAGGAAACAGGAUAGUCAAACGCUGGUGCACGG